GACGAACGCUGGCGGCGUGCUUAACACAUGCAAGUCGAACGGUGAAGCGCCUUCCUUUUUGGUGGGUGUGGAUGAGUGGCGAACGGGUGAGUAACACGUGAGUAACCUGCCCCCUUCUUCUGGAUAACCGCAUGAAAGUGUGGCUAAUACGGGAUAUUCUGGGUCUGUCGCAUGAUGGGUCUGGGAAAGAUAUUGUUUCGGUGGGGGAUGGGCUCGCGGCCUAUCAGCUUGUUGGUGAGGUGAUUGCCUACCAAGGCGGUGACGGGUAGCCGGCCUGAGAGGGUGGACGGUCACCCUGGUACUGAGCCACGGGCCGGACUCCUACGGGAGGCAGCAGUGGGGAAUAUUGCACAAUGGGCGCAAGCCUGAUGCAGCGACGCCGCGUGAGGGAUGGAGGCCUUCGGGUUGUGAACCUCUUUCGCCAGUGAAGCAGGCCUGCCUCGUUUGUGGGUGGGUUGACGGUAGCUGGAUAAGAAGCUCCGGCUAACUACGUG
Molecule: ribosomal RNA, 494 nt
Filed under: uncultured bacterium
Lineage: Bacteria
Description: partial 16S ribosomal RNA
Rfam family: Bacterial small subunit ribosomal RNA
Source: RNAcentral